Transfer RNA from Piromyces finnis, 73 nucleotides. It matches the Rfam family "tRNA". From Rfam's summary of the family: Transfer RNA (tRNA) molecules are approximately 80 nucleotides in length. Their secondary structure includes four short double-helical elements and three loops (D, anti-codon, and T loops). Further hydrogen bonds mediate the characteristic L-shaped molecular structure. tRNAs have two regions of fundamental functional importance: the anti-codon, which is responsible for specific mRNA codon recognition, and the 3' end, to which the tRNAs corresponding amino acid is attached (by aminoacyl-tRNA synthetases). tRNAs cope with the degeneracy of the genetic code in two manners: having more than one tRNA (with a specific anti-codon) for a particular amino acid; and 'wobble' base-pairing, i.e. permitting non-standard base-pairing at the 3rd anti-codon position. NCBI's taxonomy places the organism in Eukaryota, Fungi, Neocallimastigomycota, Neocallimastigomycetes, Neocallimastigales, Neocallimastigaceae. The record is from Rfam.
GCCCGUGUAGCCCAAUGGAUAAGGCGUUUCCCUCCUAAGGAAAAGAUUGUGGGUUCGAGUCCCAUCUCGGGUG